This 253-nucleotide ribosomal RNA is filed under the name uncultured bacterium. RNAcentral describes it as "partial 16S ribosomal RNA". It matches the Rfam family "Bacterial small subunit ribosomal RNA", at positions 524 to 776 of the family's 1533-position model. The record is from RNAcentral.
UACGUAGGGUGCAAGCGUUGUCCGGAAUUAUUGGGCGUAAAGAGCUCGUAGGCGGUCUGUCGCGUCGGCUGUGAAAACCCGGGGCUCAACCCCGGGCCUGCAGUGGGUACGGGCAGACUAGAGUGCGGUAGGGGAGACUGGAAUUCCUGGUGUAGCGGUGAAAUGCGCAGAUAUCAGGAGGAACACCGGUGGCGAAGGCGGGUCUCUGGGCCGUAACUGACGCUGAGGAGCGAAAGCGUGGGGAGCGAACAGG